RNAcentral lists this unclassified non-coding RNA (117 nucleotides) under Entrophospora infrequens. Its description in RNAcentral is "ITS2". The record is from RNAcentral. Lineage: Eukaryota; Fungi; Glomeromycota; Glomeromycetes; Entrophosporales; Entrophosporaceae.
ACACUCUCAAGCUCUGCUUGGAUUUGAAUCACUGCCGCGGCAGGAUUCCAAUAUUGUCGGCAAUUGACCAUCUGUGAUGACUCACUUGGAGUUAAUUCGCCUGAAACUUCUUUCAAG